Molecule: transfer RNA, 72 nt
Filed under: Marmota marmota marmota (Alpine marmot)
Lineage: Eukaryota; Metazoa; Chordata; Mammalia; Rodentia; Sciuridae
Also listed under: 1 other name
Rfam family: tRNA
About the family: Transfer RNA (tRNA) molecules are approximately 80 nucleotides in length. Their secondary structure includes four short double-helical elements and three loops (D, anti-codon, and T loops).
Source: Rfam by way of RNAcentral
AGAGAUGUAGCUCAGUAGCAGAGAGCUUGCCUAGCAUGCAGGAGGCCCUAGGUUCAAUCCCUAGUACUACAA